RNAcentral lists this ribosomal RNA (221 nucleotides) under uncultured bacterium. RNAcentral describes it as "partial 16S ribosomal RNA". It matches the Rfam family "Bacterial small subunit ribosomal RNA", at positions 15 to 228 of the family's 1533-position model. The record is from RNAcentral.
GAUCAUGGCUCAGGACGAACGCUGGCGGCGUGCCUAAUACAUGCAAGUAGAGCGCUGAAGGAGGAGCUUGCUUCUCCGGAUGAGUUGCGAACGGGUGAGUAACGCGUAGGUAACCUGCCUGGUAGCGGGGGAUAACUAUUGGAAACGAUAGCUAAUACCGCAUAACAGUAGAUAUUGCAUGAUAUCUGCUUGAAAGGUGCAAAUGCAUCACUACCAGAUGG